Molecule: ribosomal RNA, 164 nt
Filed under: Arundinella hirta
Lineage: Eukaryota; Viridiplantae; Streptophyta; Magnoliopsida; Poales; Poaceae
Also listed under: 1 other name
Description: 5.8S ribosomal RNA
Rfam family: 5.8S ribosomal RNA
About the family: 5.8S ribosomal RNA (5.8S rRNA) is a component of the large subunit of the eukaryotic ribosome. It is transcribed by RNA polymerase I as part of the 45S precursor that also contains 18S and 28S rRNA.
Source: RNAcentral
AACACGACUCUCGGCAACGGAUAUCUCGGCUCUCGCAUCGAUGAAGAACGUAGCAAAAUGCGAUACCUGGUGUGAAUUGCAGAAUCCCGCGAACCAUCGAGUUUUUGAACGCAAGUUGCGCCCGAAGCCUUCUGGCCGAGGGCACGUCUGCCUGGGCGUCACGC